UCCUUCGUCUGUGGUCUUCCGCAAGGAGCAGUAAUUCAGCUUGCAAAAACAAACAAGCAGAAAGCGCUUGGACAAUUGAUGGAUCGGGUAGUGACAGAGCUUAGCUCUGAAGGCUUCCAUGAUGCCGGCUAGUGUAAACACAGGUCACACACGUGAUGCCAGCAUUGCUUUGUCGCGGAAAGUGACGUUGCAGACCUUAAAACUCUGGUUUUGUCCGUCCACACGCAGACACCCAAAACGGAGAAAACGCAGAUCUUCACUUUGGCCGGAGUUUUUAAAAAGAUCAGUUUUCGUGUGAAAAAACUCAGUUUUCGUAUGGACGACAGGCCAAAACCUGUCCACACGUAGCCGGGGAUCUGCCAAAACGUAGAUAUUUUUCUAAGUUUUGGCCUGUCAUCCACACGAAAACGGAUCUUUUUUAAAAAAAACGGCUACGUGUGGACUAGGUUUUGGCAGAUCCCCGGCUACGUGUGGACAGGGCCUAAAACUCAGGGAAAACCCAAAUGGCCCUGGGCCUUAACAAAAGUCAUUAGAAAUAAUGACAAAGUUGCUAAGUUGGCAACAAAAACAAACUCGACAAGUAAAAUGUUUAAUACAUUUCAAAAGAUCAAGCACCAUUGUUUUAGGGGGCGUGGCCUAAAUUUACCUGCAUAAAAGGCCAUGGAACCCACCUGACAGAAAGCUCCUGCUGCAGACGGUAAGAUGCGCAUCUUUUUCUUCUCUGAGACUUUCUGGUAAAAGAGCAAAAGGAAAAGUUUAUCAUGCUGCCAUAUUCUACAACUCAAACAUAUAAUGGAGUUUUAUUUAGCUGAUUUUGAUGCUACAGUGUCUUAUUAUUUUUUUACUGAAACAAAAAGUCUUAACAGGUAUCACCAGCUUCUCUUUUCUCUGGCAGUUUUGAGUCCAUCAUGCUGAAGUCAGGAGCUCUGGUUCUCUUCCUGGCAGUUGCUGCCAGCCAGUUUCACCAGUACCAGUGUGUGAGGAUUAUUGGUACCGGAAGUGCGGACUUCAGUUCCUGUCCUAUCACGUACUUUGGAUUAAAUCAUACUGUGUUGCAAAUACACUUUGAAGACCCUCUUUUCAAGGUGUGUGCAAAAGACGACAACCCAGACUGCCUGCUUCUGGUGGUUCCAGGAACCGACCGCGCUUCGGUGGAGGUUCUGGGUCAGGGGCCAGGUCUUGGAUCACUCAUCCAAAAAACUUUCCACAACAUCAAGUCUGCUUCACCCUGCACACUUAAAAUCAAACUGCAAGAUUCUGCAGGCAUGACUCAUCUGACAUUUUUAGUCUUCAACUUUGGCAAACAAUCAGUUCUGCAGUUCAAUCCAACCAGACUCUUCACCCUGUCUGACCUUAACGUCACGUUUGUAUUCCAUAGCAAUCCUGCAACAUCAACACUAUAUAAAUUAUCUGACUGGAAGAACGGAGUGCUCAUAGACUCAAGUGGCUGGUUAGUGAAUAGAACACAAAAUAAAAUAACAAGGCCAGGUAAAUCUAAUUGUUUAAAACAAAAAAUCUGUAUUAACUUUUUCCAAACUUCAUAUCACCCCCGGCAGGUCUGGUUAUAG
This 1568-nucleotide long non-coding RNA is filed under the name Nothobranchius furzeri (turquoise killifish). RNAcentral describes it as "lncRNA (ENSNFUG00015006773.1)". Lineage: Eukaryota; Metazoa; Chordata; Actinopteri; Cyprinodontiformes; Nothobranchiidae. The record is from RNAcentral.